GACGAACGCUGGCGGCGUGCUUAACACAUGCAAGUCGAACGGCAAGGCCCUGCUUUUGUGGGGUGCUCGAGUGGCGAACGGGUGAGUAACACGGGAGUAACCUGCCCUUGACUUUGGGAUAACGUCAGGAAACUGGGGCUAAUACCGGAUAGGAGCUCCUGCUGCAGGGGGGGGGUUGGAAAGUUUCGGCGGUUGGGGAUGGACUCGCGGCUUAUCAGCUUGUUGGUGGGGUAGUGGCUUACCAAGGCUUUGACGGGUAGCCGGCCUGAGAGGGUGACCGGCCACAUUGGGACUGAGAGACGCACCAGACUCCAACGGGAGGCAGCAGGGGGGAAUAUUGCACAAUGAGCGGAAGUCUGAUGCAGCAACGCCGCGUGCGGGAUGACGGCCUUCGGGUUGUAAACCGCUUUCGCCUGUGACGAAGCGGGAGUGACGGUAAUGGGUAAAUAAGCACCGGCUAACUACGUG
This 468-nucleotide ribosomal RNA is filed under the name uncultured bacterium. RNAcentral describes it as "partial 16S ribosomal RNA". It matches the Rfam family "Bacterial small subunit ribosomal RNA", at positions 28 to 507 of the family's 1533-position model. The record is from RNAcentral.